UAAUUGAUUAUGAGAACGUAAUUGAUUGGGUCUAACCUAAACUCAGAGGUGAUCAUUUGGGUCAGAGUUGACUAGCAAUUGAAACUUAGGGCAGAGAGGUAGUGAAUUCUAAAAGGUAGUCUAGUACUUUUGAAAAUGAGGGCACUUGUUUUAAUCUACAUUUUGGGCUGGAAUCCUCUGGAAGGACAUUUAUAGGGGAAAAAAUGGACCUUGGUUAAUAAGAUUUAGAUAGGUGGAGAACAGAGUAAAGACAAUCAUUGAUUCAUUUACUUAUUCCUUCAAGAAAUAUUUAUGAAACUGCAUCACAUACAGCAUCUCUGCAAAACAUUACUAUGAGGUGACAUUGUCAUCUACAGAUGCAACUCAAUCAAAAACAGCAAGUCUGAGCAGGAAACAGUAACAACAACCUUGUAACCCUGUAUUCACUGCAUUCUAUGCAUUUACCUCCAGCCAACCAUCUCACAAAGGUAA
RNAcentral lists this long non-coding RNA (471 nucleotides) under Homo sapiens (human). RNAcentral's name for it is "HSALNT0076748". The record is from RNAcentral. Lineage: Eukaryota; Metazoa; Chordata; Mammalia; Primates; Hominidae.